CCUACGGGAGGCAGCAGUGAGGAAUAUUGGUCAAUGGGCGCUAGCCUGAACCAGCCAAGUAGCGUGAAGGAUGACUGCCCUAUGGGUUGUAAACUUCUUUUAUAUGGGAAUAAAGUGCAGUAUGUAUACUGCUUUGCAUGUACCUUAUGAAUAAGGAUCGGCUAACUCCGUGCCAGCAGCCGCGGUAAUACGGAGGCUCCGAGCGUUAUCCGGAUUUAUUGGGUUUAAAGGGAGCGUAGGCGGGUUGUUAAGUCAGUUGUGAAAGUUUGCGGCUCAACCGUAAAAUUGCAGUUGAUACUGGCAGCCUUGAGUACAGUAGAGGUAGGCGGAAUUCGUGGUGUAGCGGUGAAAUGCUUAGAUAUCACGAAGAACUCCGAUUGCGAAGGCAGCCUGCUGGACUGUAACUGACGCUGAUGCUCGAAAGUGUGGGUAUCAAACAGGAUUAGAUACCCCAGUAGUC
RNAcentral lists this ribosomal RNA (460 nucleotides) under uncultured bacterium. RNAcentral's name for it is "partial 16S ribosomal RNA". It matches the Rfam family "Bacterial small subunit ribosomal RNA", at positions 338 to 795 of the family's 1533-position model. The record is from RNAcentral.